AGUGAACGCUGGCGGUAGGCCUAACACAUGCAAGUCGAACGGCAGCACAGUAAGAGCUUGCCCUUACGGGUUGCGAGUGGCGGACGGGUGAGGAAUACAGCGGAAUCUACUUUUUCGUUGGGGAUAACGUAGGUAAACUUACGCGAAUACCGCAUUCGACCCAUGGGUGAAAGCAGGGGAUCUUUGGACCUUUCGUGGUUGAAUGAGCCGAUGUCGGAUUCGUUAGUUGGCGGGGUAAAGGCCAACCAAGGCGACGAUCCGGAGCUGGUCUGAGGGGAUGAACCGCCACACUGGCAGUGAGACACGUUCCCGACUCUUACGGGGAGAAGCAGUGGGGAAUCUUAGACAAUGGACGAAAGGCUGAUCCAGCACUACCGCCUGAAUGCUGAAGGCCUUCGGCUUGUAGAGCCCUUUUGUUGGGAAAGAAAAAAAGCACGUUAAUACCCCGUUGUUAUGACAGUACCCGAAGAAUAAGCCCCGGCUAACUUCGUG
RNAcentral lists this ribosomal RNA (492 nucleotides) under uncultured bacterium. RNAcentral's name for it is "partial 16S ribosomal RNA". It matches the Rfam family "Bacterial small subunit ribosomal RNA", at positions 29 to 507 of the family's 1533-position model. The record is from RNAcentral.